GUCCGCGUGGAUUAAAGGAUAAGGAUUCUGACUUUGAUCAGAAGACUGUAGGUUCGAAUCCUGUCGCGGACG
This 72-nucleotide transfer RNA is filed under the name Stegodyphus mimosarum. It matches the Rfam family "tRNA". From Rfam's summary of the family: Transfer RNA (tRNA) molecules are approximately 80 nucleotides in length. The record is from Rfam by way of RNAcentral. Lineage: Eukaryota; Metazoa; Arthropoda; Arachnida; Araneae; Eresidae.